GGUAUGUGGCUCAAGUGGUAAUGCGCUUGCCUGGCAUGCGCGGGGUGCUGGGUUUGAUUCUCAGCACCA
RNAcentral lists this transfer RNA (69 nucleotides) under Marmota monax (woodchuck). RNAcentral describes it as "tRNA.Ala". The record is from RNAcentral. Lineage: Eukaryota; Metazoa; Chordata; Mammalia; Rodentia; Sciuridae.